This 505-nucleotide ribosomal RNA is filed under the name uncultured bacterium. Its description in RNAcentral is "partial 16S ribosomal RNA". It matches the Rfam family "Bacterial small subunit ribosomal RNA", at positions 28 to 507 of the family's 1533-position model. The record is from RNAcentral.
GACGAACGCUGGCGGCGUGCCUAAUACAUGCAAGUAGAACGCACAGUUUAUACCGUAGCUUGCUACACCAUAGACUGUGAGUUGCGAACGGGUGAGUAACGCGUAGGUAACCUGCCUGGUAGCGGGGGAUAACUAUUGGAAACGAUAGCUAAUACCGCAUAAUAUUGAUUAUUGCAUGAUAAUUGAUUGAAAGAUGCUAUUGCAUCACUACCAGAUGGACCUGCGUUGUAUUAGCUAGUAGGUGAGGUAACGGCUCACCUAGGCGACGAUACAUAGCCGACCUGAGAGGGGGAUCGGCCACACUGGGACUGAGACAAGGCCCAGACGCCUACGGGAGGCAGCAGUAGGGAAUCUUCGGCAAUGGACGAAAGUCUGACCGAGCAACGCCGCGUGAGUGAAGAAGGUUGUCGGAUCGUAAAGCUCUGUUGUAAGAGAAGAACGGGUGUGAGAGUGGAAAGUUCACACUGUGACGGUAUCUUACCAGAAAGGGACGGCUAACUACGUG